This 1647-nucleotide long non-coding RNA is filed under the name Pocillopora damicornis (cauliflower coral). RNAcentral's name for it is "uncharacterized LOC113684788". Lineage: Eukaryota; Metazoa; Cnidaria; Anthozoa; Scleractinia; Pocilloporidae. The record is from RNAcentral.
UGGAAACAAACUUAACAAGGAAGUUUGCAGUGGAUUUAUAAUUUUAAUUCACUAUAUCUCUUGGAAUGGUUAUGAUAAAACAUUCUAGUUGCCAAUUUGGCAACUAAUUUUCAGAGUUUGGUCACCAAAGUGAAAAAUUUAGUUGCAUUGGCGCCUAUAUUAGAUGCAAUUUCAUGCCCUGCUCUUUCUAAUUCUCCAGAUCUACCCCAGUUGGAUUCUUUUAUUUCAAAUUCAACUCAUCAUCUUCCUCAUGAAAUAUAUUUCUUUUACUCUUGUCUCAGCAUGAAUCUGGUGGAAAUGUGUCUCAAUGUCAUUUCUCUAAUAAUGUAUAACAGGGGAAAAGUUGGACUAUCAGUGUUGGUUGCCUUCAUGGUGAGCACAAUGACAUUUUCCAAAACAGUAUUCUACUUCCUCGUCUCUAGUGAGUUGUGUGGUGGACAACACUUUGUGAACCACAAUGACUGGAAGUCUGCAGUGUUUUUAUACAUUAUUCCAAAUGGUAUCUGGAUACUUGUUCCCUUUCUCUGUAUGGUGACCUUAGGAAAUAUCAUAGUAGAUUGUGCAGGAAAUGGACAACCAACAGGGAAGAAAACAAAAUCUUAUUAAGUAGGAAUUUUUAAAUUGAUCAUAUCAUUGAUUUGUGUGGUAAUUCUUUAUUAACCAUUUACUCCCAAGAUCUGCUUAUCAAUUCUCACCUCUACCUGCUACAUACUUCUUAGUAAAUCAGUUUCAAGAAUUUGGUGUUAGAUCAAGAUAACAACAUAUACCUGAUUAGUUUGAGUAUUCUUAUCACCUGUUUGCUGGAUAAUGUAUGGCUAUUAAAGGGAGAAGUUACAUUUUAAUCACUGCUGGGAGUUAAAGAGUUAAACAUGGUGGAACCCUGAACAAAGGUAACAGGGAAAGUUAAUGAAAACUUUUCAUAGCCACAACAGAUUGUAUCCCAUUAGUAAAGGUGAACUCUGACCUGAGGUGUCUAAUGGAAAAGGUUGCAUUGUAUAAGGGCAAACAACAUUCCCCUAACUUGGAAAGUAAGGAAUAGGCCUUUGUUUGUAACCAAUGUUCAGAAGAAUAAGCAUGUGCACAGCAUAAGCUUAGAGAUUUUGGGGAAAAGGUCUGUGAGUGCUCCCAAUAGGAGUCCACAGCACAACCUGCCAAUUAGUACUAUGGAAAAUCUACAACUAGAGCUACACAAGAAUCAUGGCAGGCUAGGCUGUUUCACCAGGUCAAAAGUGACAAACUUCCUGCCUAAUGCUGGGACAGGAAUGUCGAAAUGUAAUGCUUCUGCACAAUGAGGAUGUUAAAUUUAUGUGCUAGAGUACUUGGCCUGGUUGUAUGAAGGGCCAAUAAAGCUAUCCAACACAAAAUAAAUAAAUGAAUAAAUCUCUAUCCAACUGAUAAGUGAUGGCAAAAUGUAUAGCAUUACCCACGGGAUAGAGAUUUAUCCUGUGGAUGGCAUUAUCCGACCUUCAAUCAACCAGGACCUUAUAUAUUGGGGGUUAAUAGGAUAAGUCGAUAAUAAAUAGGAACAUCAUCGUUUGUCAAUACCAUUCCUUUUUGGCAUACAGGGGAAAGAAAUUUGUUAAGAAAUUUGCAAAGUAAAUGUACUUGAAGUUCACAUUAAAUGACAAGUAUGCUUUACUGCUUCAA